UCCCUAGUCAUCUAGUGGUUAAGACCCUGCACUUCUAAUGCAGGGAUUGUAGGUUCAAUCCCUGGUCAGGGAA
Molecule: transfer RNA, 73 nt
Filed under: Capra hircus (goat)
Lineage: Eukaryota; Metazoa; Chordata; Mammalia; Artiodactyla; Bovidae
Also listed under: 1 other name
Rfam family: tRNA
About the family: Transfer RNA (tRNA) molecules are approximately 80 nucleotides in length. Their secondary structure includes four short double-helical elements and three loops (D, anti-codon, and T loops). Further hydrogen bonds mediate the characteristic L-shaped molecular structure. tRNAs have two regions of fundamental functional importance: the anti-codon, which is responsible for specific mRNA codon recognition, and the 3' end, to which the tRNAs corresponding amino acid is attached (by aminoacyl-tRNA synthetases). tRNAs cope with the degeneracy of the genetic code in two manners: having more than one tRNA (with a specific anti-codon) for a particular amino acid; and 'wobble' base-pairing, i.e. permitting non-standard base-pairing at the 3rd anti-codon position.
Source: Rfam by way of RNAcentral